GACGAACGCUGGCGGCGUGCUUAACACAUGCAAGUCGAGCGGAAAGGCCCUUUCGGGGGUACUCGAGCGGCGAACGGGUGAGUAACACGUGAGUAAUCUGCCCUUCACUUGGGGAUAACCUCCGGAAACGGUGGCUAAUACCCGAUACGACCAUUCCUCGCAUGAGGAGGGGGUGGAAGUUGUUUCGGUGGGGGCUGUGCCCGAGGCCUAUCAGCUUGUUGGUGGGGUAAUGUCAUACCAAGGCUUCGACGGGUAGCCGGCCUGAGAGGGUGACCGGCCACACUGGGACUGAGACACGGCCCAGACUGCUACGGGAGGCAGCAGGGGGGAAUAUUGGACAAUGGGCGGAAGCCUGAUCCAGCAACGCCGCGUGAGGGAUGACGGCCUUCGGGUUGUAAACCUCUUUCACCUGAGACGAAGCGAAAGUGACGGUAGCAGGAGAAGAAGCACCGGCCAACUACGUG
This 464-nucleotide ribosomal RNA is filed under the name uncultured bacterium. RNAcentral describes it as "partial 16S ribosomal RNA". It matches the Rfam family "Bacterial small subunit ribosomal RNA", at positions 28 to 507 of the family's 1533-position model. The record is from RNAcentral.